UUUUCGCCUGAAGAAUUAAUCAGACUACUGCGAGCGGAACGAGCAGGGCGAACUUUGGAUAAAUCGAUCUAUUAUCGGGCAAUCUUAUUGGGAAUAACAAGGGCUUCCCUCAAUACCCAAAGUUUCAUAUCUGAAGUACGUUUUGAAGAAACUGACCGAGUUUUAGUAGAAGUUGCCCUAUGAGGUCGCAUUGAUUGGUUGAAAGGCUUGAAAGAAAACAUAGUUUGAGGGGGGGUUAUACUUGUUGCUAUUGGAUUCCGAAAAAUUGUGUAUCAUUCCCCAGAAGACAACCUUUAUUAA
This 300-nucleotide ribosomal RNA is filed under the name Triticum aestivum (bread wheat). Its description in RNAcentral is "partial small subunit ribosomal RNA". The record is from RNAcentral. Lineage: Eukaryota; Viridiplantae; Streptophyta; Magnoliopsida; Poales; Poaceae.